GGUGGCCACGCACUCCAGAACCUUCACUAGACCCCUCUUCAGCUUCUCUGGGUCAUCAAAUAUCUCAUUGUCAGCCAUUGUGUCCGGAGGAAGAUUUUCUCAGUUAGAUUCUUACCGAUUAGACUGAUCAAGCAUUCUGCCUCUGAAACAUUGACAGGUUUGCAUUUAAUGCAAACCCGUGCAAUUUCCAUAUUCACCUGCAGUCUGCACUCAGGCUUUAGUGUGUUCCCAUCAUGAAGUGACUUGGCAGAAAUCACAUUUGGUCAUAUAAAUUGACAAAUAAAGAGACUAACUGCAAUGACAUGACAGAAAAAAAUAGAUUCAUUUAUUGUGCAAAGAAUCAGAGAUGUUCCACAAAACAUAAGCAAACAAUUAUAUAAUAAUUCAUAUGAACAUGUGUAACUCGCAUUAAAGGCUCAUAUGAUUUGUUUUUUUGCAAUAUAUUCAGCUACAGUUAUGACCAAAACAUGCUUAACAUA
This is a long non-coding RNA of Carassius auratus (goldfish), 479 nucleotides long. RefSeq lists it as uncharacterized. Lineage: Eukaryota; Metazoa; Chordata; Actinopteri; Cypriniformes; Cyprinidae. The transcript is spliced from 2 exons. The record is from RefSeq and is a predicted model, not a curated record.